GCGGUCGUGGUGUAGCUGGUUAACACAUCUCCCUGUCACGGAGAAGAUCGCCGGUUCGAGUCCGGUCGACCGCGCAA
Molecule: transfer RNA, 77 nt
Filed under: Candidatus Kaiserbacteria bacterium CG10_big_fil_rev_8_21_14_0_10_44_10
Lineage: Bacteria; Candidatus Kaiseribacteriota
Description: tRNA-Asp
Rfam family: tRNA
About the family: Transfer RNA (tRNA) molecules are approximately 80 nucleotides in length. Their secondary structure includes four short double-helical elements and three loops (D, anti-codon, and T loops). Further hydrogen bonds mediate the characteristic L-shaped molecular structure. tRNAs have two regions of fundamental functional importance: the anti-codon, which is responsible for specific mRNA codon recognition, and the 3' end, to which the tRNAs corresponding amino acid is attached (by aminoacyl-tRNA synthetases). tRNAs cope with the degeneracy of the genetic code in two manners: having more than one tRNA (with a specific anti-codon) for a particular amino acid; and 'wobble' base-pairing, i.e. permitting non-standard base-pairing at the 3rd anti-codon position.
Source: RNAcentral